GACGAACGCCGGUGGCGUGCUUACACAUGCAAGUCGAACGGAAAGGCCCUGCUUUUGUGGGGUGCUCGAGUGGCGAACGGGUGAGUAACACGUGAGUAACCUGCCCUUGACUUUGGGAUAACUUCAGGAAACUGGGGCUAAUACCGGAUAGGAGCUCCUGCUGCAUGGUGGGGGUUGGAAAGUUUCGGCGGUUGGGGAUGGACUCGCGGCUUAUCAGCUUGUUGGUGGGGUAGUGGCUUACCAAGGCUUUGACGGGUAGCCGGCCUGAGAGGGUGACCGGCCACAUUGGGACUGAGAUACGGCCCAGACUCCUACGGGAGGCAGCAGUGGGGAAUAUUGCACAAUGGGCGGAAGCCUGAUGCAGCAACGCCGCGUGCGGGAUGACGGCCUUCGGGUUGUAAACCGCUUUCGCCUGUGACGAAGCGUGAGUGACGGUAAUGGGUAAAGAAGCACCGGCUAACUACGUGCCAGCAGCCGCGGUGAUACGUAGGGUGCGAGCGUUGUCCGGAUUUAUUGGGCGUAAAGGGCUCGUAGGUGGUUGAUCGCGUCGGAAGUGUAAUCUUGGGGCUUAACCCUGAGCGUGCUUUCGAUACGGGUUGACUUGAGGAAGGUAGGGGAGAAUGGAAUUCCUGGUGGAGCGGUGGAAUGCGCAGAUAUCAGGAGGAACACCAGUGGCGAAGGCGGUUCUCUGGGCCUUUCCUGACGCUGAGGAGCGAAAGCGUGGGGAGCGAACAGGCUUAGAUACCCUGGUAGUCCACGCUGUAAACGGUGGGUACUAGGUGUGGGGUCCAUUCCACGGGUUCCGUGCCGUAGCUAACGCUUUAAGUACCCCGCCUGGGGAGUACGGCCGCAAGGCUAAAACUCAAAGGAAUUGACGGGGCCCCGCACAAGCGGCGGAGCAUGCGGAUUAAUUCGAUGCAACGCGUAGAACCUUACCUGGGUUUGACAUGGAUCGGGAGUGCUCAGAGAUGGGUGUGCCUCUUUUGGGGUCGGUUCACAGGUGGUGCAUGGCUGUCGUCAGCUCGUGUCGUGAGAUGUUGGGUUAAGUCCCGCAACGAGCGCAACCCUUGUUCACUGUUGCCAGCACGUUAUGGUGGGGACUCAGUGGAGACCGCCGGGGUCAACUCGGAGGAAGGUGGGGAUGACGUCAAGUCAUCAUGCCCCUUAUGUCCAGGGCUUCACGCAUGCUACAAUGGCUGGUACAGAGAGUGGCGAGCCUGUGAGGGUGAGCGAAUCUCGGAAAGCCGGUCUCAGUUCGGAUUGGGGUCUGCAACUCGACCUCAUGAAGUCGGAGUCGCUAGUAAUCGCAGAUCAGCAACGCUGCGGUGAAUACGUUCCCGGGGCG
RNAcentral lists this ribosomal RNA (1345 nucleotides) under uncultured bacterium. RNAcentral describes it as "bacterial SSU rRNA". It matches the Rfam family "Bacterial small subunit ribosomal RNA", at positions 28 to 1381 of the family's 1533-position model. The record is from RNAcentral.